Rhopilema esculentum is the source of this 868-nucleotide long non-coding RNA. RefSeq lists it as uncharacterized. NCBI's taxonomy places the organism in Eukaryota, Metazoa, Cnidaria, Scyphozoa, Rhizostomeae, Rhizostomatidae. The record is from RefSeq and is a predicted model, not a curated record.
UAUGGUAUGGUAUGGUAUGGUAUGGUAUGGUAUGGUAUGGUAUGGUAUGGUAUGUAUGGUAUGGUAUGGUAUGGUAUGGUAUGGUAUGAUAAAAUAUUCUCAAUCACGGACACUUUAUAUUCGGUCUUUCCUGAAGUUCCAGAUUUUAUCAGUUGACUCCUUGUGGUUUUCCGAAUCUUGAACAUUGCUAAUGAGUCACCGGCAGUUGUUGAUGAGUUUCUAGAUCAUUGCGUCUAUAUUUAUUUUUGCUCUAAGUUUAAUCAUUAUAAAACGGAGAGAGCUCUCAGUCUCAUGUUUUACUAAUUAUUCCAACAAAUAUGAAUCAGGUUUUCACCGUUUUUUCCAAUGUUUUAUUAACAGACUAACAAACAGGCGUAAAACAUAACAGACAAGAACGAGUAUCUGCUAAUUUCCUCCUUCCUCUUCGAUUGUCUUUGGUCAGCAUAAAAGCAGUCACAAGGCAUCCUCUUUCAGUUAGUUCGAGCAAGACCAGAUUGAUUUCCUUCACUCUGCAGCAUCAUCUCACAGAUAGCAAAAUGAAAGCAACUUUGGUUAUUCUCUUGCUUGGCUUGAUUGUCAUCUCACAGGUCGAGUCUCUCACCAGUGGUGGUCUUCAGAUGUGGGGAAAAAGAGCUUUACGUGAGAGGGCCGAACAAGCAGAGACAUUGCAGAAAACCGCUUGUGCUUUUUGCAGAAUGAACGUACAUGUGUGCGAAAACCUCUCGCGAAGAUCUGCUGAAAAUGCAGAGAAAAAGUAAAGCUUCGAGCUGGCAAUAACAACAUCAGUGACUUAUUUGUAACUAGCAUAAUAGACUUGAAAAAUGUGUAUUUGAAUGCAUCAUAUCAAUUAAAAUGAUUGAGUCCUCUA